AGAAUCAACGCUGGCGGCGUGCCUAACACAUGCAAGUCGAACGCGAAAGGGGCUUCGGCCCUGAGUAGAGUGGCGAACGGGUGAGUAACACGUGGUGAUCUACCUCUGAGUGGGGAUAACGUUCCGAAAGGACGCUAAUACCGCAUGAUGUUCUGGGUUUGAAGACCUGGAAACCAAAGUCGGGACCGCAAGGCCUGACGCUUGGAGAGGAGCCCGCGCCUGAUUAGCUAGUUGGUGAGGUAACGGCUCACCAAGGCAACGAUCAGUA
RNAcentral lists this ribosomal RNA (268 nucleotides) under uncultured bacterium. RNAcentral describes it as "partial small subunit ribosomal RNA". It matches the Rfam family "Bacterial small subunit ribosomal RNA", at positions 26 to 285 of the family's 1533-position model. The record is from RNAcentral.